CACGUACGAACGGUCGAUCCGUUGAUAUCCUGGCAACUUGACUUGCACGCCUUUCCUUUCUGUUUUGCAGUAAAAAAGAACGAGAGUUGCCGGUCUGUUGGAGCUGCCACCAGAAUUUUUUUUUUUUGUAAUCAACAGUCUUAUGUAGUAUUAUGAUUUCAGAGAUAAGUACAUGAUCAGUUAGUUACGUGGAGAACUGAACUUGGGAGUUCUUUCGCUGAACUUGAGGCCCCCCUCUUAUAUACUUAUAAGCAAAUAAGCAAACUUGGACCUCAACUCCGGAACCCGGAUGCUUAUCCGUAGGAGAAGAACGCCCUUCCCUUGACCGGGAACUCAAGUGUAUCAUCAACUUGGUAAGGAUACCGUAUUGAAUCACCGUACUUCGUACCAAUGUGCAACUUAUCACUUCGCAUUGUAAAAUGGCGUCUCUACUGCCACUAGCGACAAACUAGGUGAUGGUUUUGACUUUGCAAAGUCAAACUAAUUAAGAUUAAAUGUUGCCUUAGUUAUAUUUCAUUAUCAUAUACUCCUUCCGGCGUAGUAUGUCCUAGUUUUGUCCUAAGUGUAAUUUGUAGAAAAUUGUGCCGAUAUCUACAACUAUAUGUUUUAUUAAAUCCAUUGUGAUACAUAUUUUCAAAAUAUACUUAUUUGAUAAUGUUGCCGUUAGCUUUAUUUUUCAUAAAAUUUGUCAAACUUUAAGUCAGUUAGGAUAAGUUUGACUGGAGGUAUUAGUAGGCACAUUAACAUUCCUAAUCCAGAGUUAUUUUUGGAUGGUUUUUUUAUCGCGUCAAUCGUCUCAUGUCACUGCAUGGCUACAUAAAGAAGUGUCCCGCCAACGCUAGAUUGCAUCUCGACUCCCAAGCCCUAGCCGUCACUACUCCAAUUUGCGAUGAUUUCGACUUCUCCAUCUUGACGACCGUACACAUGGUUGGUCAGGAGAGUGGACCUUCGGAACCGCGUCCUUCGAUAUCUUGCACUAGAAGAGUGGCCCAAUAAAAUUUGUAUGGUGUGUCCUUGCACACCUGCUCUUCUGGUCGAUUGCUUACCUGUCGACAUCUUCAUCAUGAGGGGCUCAACAUCGAGGACAUACGGUUCGGUUCGAGUUCCAAUUUAUGUUCUUGCAAACGAUAUAGAUGUCUUAGCCUACUACUUACUCCCUCCGUCUGCAAAUAAGUGUACGCUUGGGUUUAAAAUUGUCCACAAAAGAGUGUACUUCGCUAUA
This 1222-nucleotide long non-coding RNA is filed under the name Brachypodium distachyon (stiff brome). RNAcentral's name for it is "long non-coding RNA (BDIS_LNC000847)". The record is from RNAcentral. Lineage: Eukaryota; Viridiplantae; Streptophyta; Magnoliopsida; Poales; Poaceae.